ACUCCUACGGGAGGCAGCAGUGGGGAAUAUUGCACAAUGGGCGCAAGCCUGAUGCAGCCAUGCCGCGUGUGUGAAGAAGGCUCUAGGGUCGUAAAGCACUUUAAGCAGGGAGGAAAGGGUUAAGGUUAAUAGCCUUGAUCUGUGACGUUACCUGCAGAAUAAGCACCGGCUAACUCCGUGCCAGCAGCCGCGGUAAUACGGAGGGUGCAAGCGUUAAUCGGAAUUACUGGGCGUAAAGCGCGCGUAGGCGGUUUUGUAAGCUGGGUGUGAAAGCCCCGGGCUCAACCUGGGAACUGCAUUCAGAACUGCAAGACUAGAGUACGGUAGAGGGUGGUAGAAUUUCUUGUGUAGCGGAUGAAAUGCGUAGAUAUAAGAAGGAAUACCAGUGGCGAAGGCGGCCACCUGGACUGAUACUGACGCUGAGGUGCGAAAGCGUGGGGGAGCGAACAGGAUUAGAUACCCUGUAGGCUCUG
This 473-nucleotide ribosomal RNA is filed under the name uncultured bacterium. RNAcentral's name for it is "bacterial SSU rRNA". It matches the Rfam family "Bacterial small subunit ribosomal RNA", at positions 335 to 799 of the family's 1533-position model. The record is from RNAcentral.